This 343-nucleotide unclassified non-coding RNA is filed under the name soil metagenome. RNAcentral describes it as "partial contains 5.8S ribosomal RNA, internal transcribed spacer 2, and large subunit ribosomal RNA". The stretch from base 1 to 120 matches the Rfam family "5.8S ribosomal RNA", at positions 35 to 154 of the family's 154-position model. The record is from RNAcentral.
GAUGAAGAACGCAGCGAAAUGCGAUAAGUAAUGUGAAUUGCAGAAUUCAGUGAAUCAUCGAAUCUUUGAACGCACAUUGCGCCCGCCAGCAUUCUGGCGGGCAUGCCUGUUCGAGCGUCAUUUCAACCCUCGAGCCCCCCCGGGGGCCUCGGUGUUGGGGGACGGCACACCAGCCGCCCCCGAAAUGCAGUGGCGACCCCGCCGCAGCCUCCCCUGCGUAGUAGCACACACCUCGCACCGGAGCGCGGAGGCGGUCACGCCGUAAAACGCCCAACUUUCUUAGAGUUGACCUCUGAUCAGGUAGGAAUACCCGCUGAACUUAAGCAUAUCAAUAAGCGGAGGA